This 670-nucleotide small RNA is filed under the name Vigna angularis var. angularis. RNAcentral's name for it is "Non-protein coding transcript". The record is from RNAcentral. Lineage: Eukaryota; Viridiplantae; Streptophyta; Magnoliopsida; Fabales; Fabaceae.
GUGAGAGAAGCCCAGAAACACUGAAGCCAGCCCAGUCUCGCUCAUCUUCUUCUCUUCCUCAACGACGGUCAACGAAGCCCAACCACGUUCUUCGGUAUUCCUCUUCUUCUGUUCUCUUGGACGACAUUCAACGAAGGCACUAAGGUGAUGUUGUUCCUCUCCUCUUCCUGAACGUUGAUGACGAUACCAUCUAAUCAGCAACGCAUUCACCGGCGGUGAAGGCUCACGUAGUAGAUAGAAAAAAAAACAUCAAUUUCGGAUUGUUGUUCGAUAAUGUGUUGAUUUGUCGGAGGCUCUGUUCAUUUGGUGCGUGUGACAGUGAAAGUGCAGGUAUUUUUUUUUAUCAAACCUUUAUAUGAUUAGCCCUUGUUAUUAGCUUUCCUGAUCAUGGCUUCCAUCUUUGUUUCGACCUGUGGUUGAUUUAGUCUUUUUUGUGUGUACUAUUUAGUGAAGUUUUUGUUUAUUAUGUCUUUAUAGGAAACAUUAGUGCUUGACUGGUGAUUACUGUAAGUUAGAAAUGAUAUAAUGGCGCCAUCACUCAUGCUUUGGUUGCUCUAUGGUAUCAUGACAAUAACUAACAAUACAACUUCCGCUUCCACCAAACGCCCACAUUUUGAUGUAACUUCUCUAACUAUAGUACAAGCUUUCUAAUUUAAUUAGUAUUUUUAAU